AAUAUUUCACAAUGGAGGAAACCCUGAUGCAGCGACGCCGCGUGAACGAUGAAGGCAUUCGCGUCGUAAAGUUAUGUCCUCGGUGACGAUAAUGACGGUACCUUAGGAUGAAGCCCCGGCUAACUACGUACCAGCAACCGCGGUAAUACGUAGGGGGCAAGCGUUGUCCGGAAUUAUUGGGCGUAAAGGGUCCGCAGGCGGCCUUUUAAGUCAGAUGUGAAAGACUACAGCUCAACUGUAGUAAGGAUUUGGAACUGAAAGGCUUGAGUUAAGGAGGGGAGAGUGGAAUGCCUAGUGUAGCGGUGAAAUGCGUAGAUAAUAGGAAGGAUACCAAUGGCGAAGGCGACUUGCUGGACUUAUACUGACGCUGAGGAACGAAAGCGUGGGGAGCAAACAGG
This 398-nucleotide ribosomal RNA is filed under the name uncultured bacterium. RNAcentral describes it as "partial 16S ribosomal RNA". It matches the Rfam family "Bacterial small subunit ribosomal RNA", at positions 360 to 776 of the family's 1533-position model. The record is from RNAcentral.